GAUGAACGCUGGCGGCGUGCCUAAUACAUGCAAGUCGAGCGAACGGACGAGAAGCUUGCUUUUCUGAUGUUAGCGGCGGACGGGUGAGUAACACGUGGAUAACCUACCUAUAAAACUGGGAUAACUUCGGGAAACCGGAGCUAAUACCGGAUAAUAUUUUGAACCGCAUGGUUCAAAAGUGAAAGACGGUCUUGCUGUCACUUAUAGAUGGAUCCGCGCUGCAUUAGCUAGUUGGUAAGGUAACGGCUUACCAAGGCAACGAUGCAUAGCCGACCUGAGAGGGUGAUCGGCCACACUGGAACUGAGACACGGUCCAGACUCCUACGGGAGGCAGCAGUAGGGAAUCUUCCGCAAUGGGCGAAAGCCUGACGGAGCAACGCCGCGUGAGUGAUGAAGGUCUUCGGAUCGUAAAACUCUGUUAUUAGGGAAGAACAUAUGUGUAAGUAACUGUGCACAUCUUGACGGUACCUAAUCAGAAAGCCACGGCUAACUACGU
This 496-nucleotide ribosomal RNA is filed under the name uncultured bacterium. RNAcentral describes it as "partial 16S ribosomal RNA". It matches the Rfam family "Bacterial small subunit ribosomal RNA", at positions 28 to 506 of the family's 1533-position model. The record is from RNAcentral.